CAGUGAGUUACGAGAUCAAUUCGGUUCUGGUGCUGCAGAAACAAGCUGGAUUGCCUCCCUUAGUUCCGGACUGCUUCUUUCGUUUGCUUUUUUAGUUUCGUAUAUUGUGUUCCGAAAUGGAAGAAAACAAGAGUUUCCGAAUGCGUUAUGGUUUUUACAUGAAGAAUUGAAGGGUGGUUACUUUGUCCGAUUUACCUGCUGCAGUUCAUCUAUUACGCUUUAAAUGAGGAAAAUACGGAGUCAAACAGGCUGGUGAAUUUACAACACAGGAAAGUCACCAAUGUGCAUAGAUGCUGUCUAAAGUGAUUAUGAUGUCAUUAUUUGAUGAUUACUUCAAUAUUCACUCUUUCAUUGUAAAUGUAGCAACCAAUAAAUUAUGUGACAUUAA
Mizuhopecten yessoensis (Yesso scallop) is the source of this 388-nucleotide long non-coding RNA. RefSeq lists it as uncharacterized. Lineage: Eukaryota; Metazoa; Mollusca; Bivalvia; Pectinida; Pectinidae. The record is from RefSeq and is a predicted model, not a curated record. The transcript is spliced from 3 exons.